GUUGGUGAACCAGCGGAGGGAUCAUUAAAGAGUUGCAAAACUCCCACAACCAUCGCGAACGUUACCCGUAACCGUUGCCUCGGCGGCGCCGGCCCCCCUGGGGCUGCCCGCCGGCGGUACCCCAAACGCUGUCUUUGUAGGCCUCUCUGAGUAACUUAUCAAAUAAGUCAAAACUUUUAACAACGGAUCUCUUGGUUCUGGCAUCGAUGAAGAACGCAGCAUCUGACUGACUGGAGAAUGUGAUAUCUCG
Molecule: unclassified non-coding RNA, 250 nt
Filed under: plant metagenome
Description: partial contains small subunit ribosomal RNA, internal transcribed spacer 1, and 5.8S ribosomal RNA
Rfam family: 5.8S ribosomal RNA (bases 172-250)
Source: RNAcentral